GACGAACGCUGGCGGCGCGCCUAACACAUGCAAGUCGAACGGGGAUGCCCGGAUGAACCCUUCGGGGGGAUUCUGGAACAUCCCAGUGGCGGACGGGUGAGUAACACGUGAGCAACCUGCCUUACUCAGGGGGAUAACGUCUGGAAACGGACGCUAAUACCGCAUAAAAUAGUAAGACCGCAUGGUCUGACUAUCAAAGAUUUAUCGGAGUAAGAUGGGCUCGCGCCUGAUUAGCUGGUUGGUGAGGUAAUGGCUCACCAAGGCGACGAUCAGUAGCCGGACUGAGAGGUUGAUCGGCCACAUUGGGACUGAGACACGGCCCAGACUCCUACGGGAGGCAGCAGUGAGGGAUAUUGCACAAUGGGGGAAACCCUGAUGCAGCGACGCCGCGUGAGGGAAGAAGGUUUUCGGAUUGUAAACCUCUGUCCCCGGUGAAGAAAUUGACGGUAACCGGGGAGGAAGCCACGGCUAACUACGUGCCAGCCGCCGCCGUAAA
RNAcentral lists this ribosomal RNA (496 nucleotides) under uncultured bacterium. Its description in RNAcentral is "bacterial SSU rRNA". It matches the Rfam family "Bacterial small subunit ribosomal RNA", at positions 28 to 524 of the family's 1533-position model. The record is from RNAcentral.